AGGACCAAACAACCAUGAAGUUCUUCAUCUUUACCUGCCUUUUGGCAGUUGCUCUGGCACAGCAUGAAUCUGCCGGUAUCUACCAAGAAGAAACUGCAAAUAAAAUAGAUACGAUG
Molecule: non-coding RNA, 116 nt
Organism: Chlorocebus sabaeus (green monkey)
Lineage: Eukaryota; Metazoa; Chordata; Mammalia; Primates; Cercopithecidae
Source: RefSeq, a predicted model, not a curated record